UACGAAGGGUGCUAGCGUUGUUCGGAAUCACUGGGCGUAAAGCGUGCGUAGGCGGCGAAUCAAGUCAGAGGUGAAAUGCCCAGGCUCAACCUGGGAACUGCCUUUGAAACUGGUUCGCUGGAGUGUCGGAGGGGAUGGCGGAAUUCCUAAUGUAGCGGUGAAAUGCGUAGAUAUUAGGAGGAACACCGGUGGCGAAGGCGGCCAUCUGGACGACAACUGACGCUGAGGCACGAAAGCGUGGGGAUCAAACAGG
Molecule: ribosomal RNA, 253 nt
Filed under: uncultured bacterium
Lineage: Bacteria
Description: partial 16S ribosomal RNA
Rfam family: Bacterial small subunit ribosomal RNA
Source: RNAcentral